UACGGGGGGAGCAAGCGUUGUUCGGAUUUACUGGGCGUAAAGGGCGCGUAGGCGGCCACGCAAGUCUUGGGUGAAAUCCCUCGGCUCAACCGAGGAACUGCCUUGGAAACUGCAUGGCUCGAGGCCGGGAGAGGGUAGCGGAAUUCCCAGUGUAGCGGUGAAAUGCGUAGAUAUUGGGAGGAACACCGGUGGCGAAGGCGGCGACCUGGACCGGUUCUGACGCUGAUGCGCGAAAGCGUGGGGAGCAAACAGG
This 253-nucleotide ribosomal RNA is filed under the name uncultured bacterium. RNAcentral describes it as "partial 16S ribosomal RNA". It matches the Rfam family "Bacterial small subunit ribosomal RNA", at positions 524 to 776 of the family's 1533-position model. The record is from RNAcentral.